RNAcentral lists this ribosomal RNA (212 nucleotides) under uncultured bacterium. RNAcentral's name for it is "partial 16S ribosomal RNA". It matches the Rfam family "Bacterial small subunit ribosomal RNA", at positions 568 to 774 of the family's 1533-position model. The record is from RNAcentral.
UGCGUAGGUGGCCAGGUAAGUUCGGUGUGAAAGCUCGGAGCUCAACUCCGAAAUGGCAUUGAAUACUACUUGGCUGAUAUUUGAGGGUCGGAGGGGAGACUGGAAUUCUCGGUGUAGCAGUGAAAUGCGUAGAUAUCGAGAGGAACACCAGUGGCGAGGCGAGUCUCUGGACGACACCUGACACUGAGGCACGAAAGCUAGGGGAGCAAACA